This 269-nucleotide ribosomal RNA is filed under the name uncultured prokaryote. Its description in RNAcentral is "partial 16S ribosomal RNA". It matches the Rfam family "Bacterial small subunit ribosomal RNA", at positions 524 to 792 of the family's 1533-position model. The record is from RNAcentral.
GACAGAGGAGGCAAGCGUUGUUCGGAAUUAUUGGGCUUAAAGCGGGUGUAGGCGGCUGGACAAGUGUUCUGUGAAAGCCCCCGGCUCAACCGGGGAACGGCAGAGCAAACUGCCUGGCUUGAGGUCGGUAGAGGUGCCUGGAACUCUCGGUGGAGCGGUGAAAUGCGUAGAUAUCGAGAGGAACGCCAGUGGCGAAAGCGGGGCACUGGGCCGAUUCUGACGCUGAGACCCGAAAGCGUGGGGAGCAAACAGGAUUAGAUACCCGCGUA